GACGAACGCUGGCGGCGUGCUUAACACAUGCAAGUCGAACGGAAAGGCCCUGCUUUUGUGGGGUGCUCGAGUGGCGAACGGGUGAGUAACACGUGAGUAACCUGCCCUUGACUUUGGGAUAACUUCAGGAAACUGGGGCUAAUACCGGAUAGGAGCUCCUGCUGCAUGGUGGGGGUUGGAAAGUUUCGGCGGUUGGGGAUGGACUCGCGGCUUAUCAGCUUGUUGGUGGGGUAGUGGCUUACCAAGGCUUUGACGGGUAGCCGGCCUGAGAGGGUGACCGGCCACAUUGGGACUGAGAUACGGCCCAGACUCCUACGGGAGGCAGCAGUGGGGAAUAUUGCACAAUGGGCGGAAGCCUGAUGCAGCAACGCCGCGUGCGGGAUGACGGCCUUCGGGUUGUAAACCGCUUUCGCCUGCGGCGAAGCGUGAGUGACGGUAAUGGGUAAAGAAGCACCGGCUAACUACGUG
Molecule: ribosomal RNA, 468 nt
Filed under: uncultured bacterium
Lineage: Bacteria
Description: partial 16S ribosomal RNA
Rfam family: Bacterial small subunit ribosomal RNA
Source: RNAcentral